RNAcentral lists this ribosomal RNA (119 nucleotides) under Cicer arietinum (chickpea). Lineage: Eukaryota; Viridiplantae; Streptophyta; Magnoliopsida; Fabales; Fabaceae. The record is from RNAcentral.
AGAUGCGAUCAUACCAACACUAAUGCACCGAAUCCCAUCAAAACUCUACAAAUAAGCGUGCUUGGGCGAGAGUAAUACUAAGAUGGGUGAAUUCAUAGAAAGUUCUCUUGUUGCACCUU